RNAcentral lists this unclassified non-coding RNA (578 nucleotides) under Hevea brasiliensis (rubber tree). The record is from RNAcentral. Lineage: Eukaryota; Viridiplantae; Streptophyta; Magnoliopsida; Malpighiales; Euphorbiaceae.
AAAAUCUGCAACCUUUGGUUCAAAAUUACUGGUAAGAAGAAUAUUAUCUGCCUUAAUAUCUCGAUGUAUAAUUUUACAGAUUUCAUGUAGAUGUUGUAAUCCAUAUGCAGAUUGUAUGGCGAUAUUCCUUCUUCUUUGCCAAUCCAGCUUGUUAUCUUUUCCAUUUAAAUGAUGUCUCAAUGUCCCAUUGGGAACAAACUCCAAUACAAGCAGUUUAUUAGCGCCCUCAUCACAGUAGCCAAUAAGCUCAACAAGGCAUGGGUGAUUUACCUUUUUAAGGUACUCAAUCUCCUCUACUUUAUUUUGCGGCUCUUCAUCCUUUUUAAAUUUAAGUUUCUUGAUAGCAACAACUUUACCGUCUAGUGAUCCUUUGAAGACAUCACCAAAGCCACCUGAGCCAAGCAGAUUAUCGUACGUGAAAGAUUUAGUUGCCUCGGAGAGUUUCUUAUAACUGUACUUCCUCAACCCGCCUCUGGUGUCACCGCCACCUCCGAAACAACCCCAAGAGCAAAAAGCCAUCAAUUAAGAGUUGCAGAGUCCCAACUAAGAACUAUCAGAGAGACAGAGAGAGAGAGAGA